GAACGCUGGCGGCAGGCCUAACACAUGCAAGUCGAGCGGUAACAGAUCUAGCUUGCUAGAUGCUGACGAGCGGCGGACGGGUGAGUAAUGCAUAGGAAUCUGCCCGAUAGUGGGGGAUAACCUGGGGAAACCCAGGCUAAUACCGCAUACGUCCUACGGGAGAAAGGGGGGCUCCGGCUCCCGCUAUGGGAUGAGCCUAUGUCGGAUUAGCUAGUUGGUGAGGUAACGGCUCACCAAGGCGACGAUCCGUAGCUGGUCUGAGAGGAUGAUCAGCCACAUCGGGACUGAGACACGGCCCGAACUCCUACGGGAGGCAGCAGUGGGGAAUAUUGGACAAUGGGCGAAAGCCUGAUCCAGCCAUGCCGCGUGUGUGAAGAAGGCCCUCGGGUUGUAAAGCACUUUCAGCGAGGAAGAACGCCUAGCGGUUAAUACCCGCUAGGAAAGACAUCACUCGCAGAAGAAGCACCGGCUAACUCCGUGCCAGCAGCCGCGGUAAUACGGAGGGUGCAAGCGAUAAUCGGAAUUACUGGGCGUAAAGCGCGCGUAGGUGGCUUGAUAAGCCGGUUGUGAGAGCCCCGGGCUCAACCUGGGAACGGCAUCCGGAACUGUCAAGCUAGAGUGCAGGAGAGGAAGGUAGAAUUCCCGGUGUAGCGGUGAAAUGCGUAGAGAUCGGGAGGAAUACCAGUGGCGAAGGCGGCCUUCUGGACUGACACUGACACUGAGGUGCGAAAGCGUGGGUAGCAAACAGGAUUAGAUACCCUGGU
RNAcentral lists this ribosomal RNA (764 nucleotides) under uncultured bacterium. RNAcentral describes it as "bacterial SSU rRNA". It matches the Rfam family "Bacterial small subunit ribosomal RNA", at positions 31 to 791 of the family's 1533-position model. The record is from RNAcentral.